This is a non-coding RNA of Vicia faba (fava bean), 321 nucleotides long. The record is from the annotation of a GenBank genome assembly. NCBI's taxonomy places the organism in Eukaryota, Viridiplantae, Streptophyta, Magnoliopsida, Fabales, Fabaceae.
CCACGAUUUAAACCCAAAGCCAGAAGUGAAUCUGAAACAGGCCGAGGGGAAUGCAAACAGAAUCCAGCAAUCGUGAAAGCACCAGAACCGCGACUCCAAAGCUUCGACGAAUCUCACCUCCAACGAACACGCCGAGCCACCGAUCUGCAAAUCGCCGGCUGCCCAACCCCAAUUCGCGAGUCACUGUAUCAAAACAACAAACUCUACAAGAAUAUCACUGCCACUACAAUUAACACAUGCACCAGAACCAACGAUGUUUCCCGCCCACGCAUCAGCCGACAAGUUCGAGCACUCCUCACAGCCGCAAAAUCAAACUACUAA